UCCUUGGUGGUCCACUGGCUAAGACUCUGCACUCCCAAUGUAGGGGCCCAGGUUUGAUCCCUGGUCACGGAA
RNAcentral lists this transfer RNA (72 nucleotides) under Bos taurus (domestic cattle). It matches the Rfam family "tRNA". Rfam says of the family: Transfer RNA (tRNA) molecules are approximately 80 nucleotides in length. RNAcentral also lists the same sequence under 5 other names. Lineage: Eukaryota; Metazoa; Chordata; Mammalia; Artiodactyla; Bovidae. The record is from Rfam by way of RNAcentral.